RNAcentral lists this ribosomal RNA (565 nucleotides) under uncultured bacterium. RNAcentral's name for it is "bacterial SSU rRNA". It matches the Rfam family "Bacterial small subunit ribosomal RNA", at positions 294 to 803 of the family's 1533-position model. The record is from RNAcentral.
GAGAGGACGAUCAGGCACACUGGAACUGAGACACGGUCCAGACACCUACGGGUGGCAGCAGUCGAGAAUAAUUUCACAAUGGACGAAAGUCUGAUGGUGCAACGCCGCGUGGAGGAUGACGGUCCUUCGGAUUGUAAACUUCCCGUCAUCCAGGGAGUAAGAACCUGGGUUGUUUAAUAGCACACAGGGGUUUGAUAGUACCUUGAAGAGGAAGGGGACGGCUAACUUCUCGUGCCCAGCAGCCCGCGGUAAUACGAAGGUCCCCAAGCGUUUGUUUCGGGAAUCACUGGGGCGUAAAGGGGAGCGUAGGCUGUGUGUGUAAGUCAGAUGGUGAAAAUCCCCGGGGCCUCAACCCCCGGAACUGCAUCUCGAAUACUGCCGCACUAGAGGAUAUGGGAGAAAGUAAACAGGAAUUUCCACGGUGGUAGCAGUGAAAAUGGCGUAAAUAUCGCUGAGGGAAAGAAACAAUGGGCGAAAGCAUGUUUACUGGACAACUUCCUGACGCUGAAGGCUCGAAGGCUAAGGGUAGCGAAAGGGAUUAAAAUACCCCUGUAGUCCUAGCAGU